UGGCGCCAAACAGGCAUGGCGGCUGUCACCAGAAAUAGACCGCAUAAAGGGGUUCAGCAAGACUUCGGUUUGUAGAGGUUAAUCAUGAAAUCUUCCAAGCUUUCUACAGUUCCCUGCCAUAAAAACAGCACAUCAUCGAUAAACCGCAGCCAACACUGCACAUCGGAUACGCCCCGCACCCCAUCGCACAAAAAUACCUCCCUCUCCCAGUACCCCAGGAAGAGGUUUGCGUACGACGGAGCGCAGGACGCACCCAUCGCAGUGCCGCGCUUCUAUCUCUGCUUCCCGUCAAUGAAUAGAAACAUUCUUUGUAGACUUUGAGUGGCUGAAAUCCUGUUCUGGCCUCCUACUUGUAAGAAACAUUUUCGGGAACGACAGUGAGACAUUUACUCAAAGCAAGUAAAAAUACUGAAAAUAUUUUAGAUCAGUGUAUGCAGAGGACUUCUUUGGAUUUGGUGGACUACGUCGAUGACCAGCAUUUUUUUUUUGUUAAAUAUUAAUAAAAUGGCUAACCAGGGCUUGUGGGGUUAAUGGCUAACCAGGG
This is a long non-coding RNA of Hyla sarda, 544 nucleotides long. RefSeq lists it as uncharacterized. Lineage: Eukaryota; Metazoa; Chordata; Amphibia; Anura; Hylidae. The transcript is spliced from 4 exons. The record is from RefSeq and is a predicted model, not a curated record.